RNAcentral lists this ribosomal RNA (484 nucleotides) under uncultured bacterium. Its description in RNAcentral is "partial 16S ribosomal RNA". It matches the Rfam family "Bacterial small subunit ribosomal RNA", at positions 30 to 507 of the family's 1533-position model. The record is from RNAcentral.
AUUGAACGCUAGCGGGAUGCUUUACACAUGCAAGUCGAACGGCAGCGCGGACUUCGGUCUGGCGGCGAGUGGCGAACGGGUGAGUAAUGUAUCGGAACGUGCCCAGUAGCGGGGGAUAACUACGCGAAAGCGUAGCUAAUACCGCAUACGCCCUACGGGGGAAAGCAGGGUAUCGUAAGACCUUGCACUAUUGGAGCGGCCGAUAUCGGAUUAGCUAGUUGGUGAGGUAACGGCUCACCAAGGCGACGAUCCGUAGCUGGUUUGAGAGGACGACCAGCCACACUGGGACUGAGACACGGCCCAGACUCCUACGGGAGGCAGCAGUGGGGAAUUUUGGACAAUGGGGGCAACCCUGAUCCAGCCAUCCCGCGUGUGCGAUGAAGGCCUUCGGGUUGUAAAGCACUUUUGGCAGGAAAGAAACGUCGCGGGCUAAUACCCCGUGGAACUGACGGUACCUGCAGAAUAAGCACCGGCUAACUACGUG